UGGGGGAAUUUUUGGGACAAUGGGGGAAACCCUGAUCCAGCCAUCCCGCGUGUGCGAUGAAGGCCUUCGGGUUGUAAAGCACUUUUUGGCAGGAAAGAAACGUCGCGGGUUAAAUACCCCCGCGAAACUGACGGUACCUGCAGAAUAAGCACCGGCUAACUACGUGCCAGCAGCCGCGGUAAUACGUAGGGUGCAAGCGUUAAUCGGAAUUACUGGGCGUAAAGCGUGCGCAGGCGGUUCGGAAAGAAAGAUGUGAAAUCCCAGAGCUUAACUUUGGAACUGCAUUUUUAACUACCGGGCUAGAGUGUGUCAGAGGGAGGUGGAAUUCCGCGUGUAGCAGUGAAAUGCGUAGAUAUGCGGAGGAACACCGAUGGCGAAGGCAGCCUCCUGGGAUAACACUGACGCUCAUGCACGAAAAGCGUGGGGAGCAAAACAGGAUUAGAUACCCUGGUAGUCCACGCCCUAAAACGAUGUCAAACUAGCUGUUUGGGGGCCUUCGGGCCUUGG
This 507-nucleotide ribosomal RNA is filed under the name uncultured bacterium. RNAcentral describes it as "partial 16S ribosomal RNA". It matches the Rfam family "Bacterial small subunit ribosomal RNA", at positions 354 to 842 of the family's 1533-position model. The record is from RNAcentral.